UCAAACUUGGUCAUUUAGAGGAAGUAAAAGUCGUAACAAGGUCUCCGUAGGUGAACCUGCGGAGGGAUCAUUACAGGGUUCGUGCCCCCCGGGCCGGCCUCCCACCCCCUGACAUCGCUACGACGUUGCCUUGGCGGGCCGCGCCCGCGCGCCCGCCAGAGGCCCCCAACCCUCGAUUCUGGUGUCGUCCGAGUGCCAACGAAAUCGUUAAAACUUUCAACAACGGAUCUCUUGGUUCUGGCAUCGAUGAAGAACGCAGC
This 260-nucleotide unclassified non-coding RNA is filed under the name uncultured fungus. RNAcentral's name for it is "partial contains small subunit ribosomal RNA, internal transcribed spacer 1, and 5.8S ribosomal RNA". The stretch from base 1 to 73 matches the Rfam family "Eukaryotic small subunit ribosomal RNA", at positions 1759 to 1831 of the family's 1831-position model. The record is from RNAcentral. Lineage: Eukaryota; Fungi.